GAAAGGCUUUGCUGUGUUUCCUCUGCAGAGAAAGUGCCCAGGUAACAGAGAUGACUCAAAAUCAUGUACAUUAGCAGUCAGAUCAGACAAACCAAAGCCUCACGGUGUGCCCACGUCGGAACUCCUUCUCCUAGCAUUUUUCUGGGUCAGCCUGGAUUGAGACACACUGGCCUUUAGAACUUGAAUAAAAUGCCGUUUCACUCAUUGCCAUCUUCGAUAGUUGGUAGAAGGUGAUUGCAGUUCCAAGUGGUGUCACCAUUUUAGUGAGUGCAUUGUGAAGGGAUAAGUAAGCAGAGAUGCAAAACCUCUUCCACUUCUUUUCCAUGAAGCACAGCUUUCAGAAGAAUUGAACUAUAGUAAAUGGCAGAGAGUCUAGCACAAUUAAGUAUUUCUAAACCAGGACUGAAAAUGAAGAAAUGAUCACCAUAGAGGAAACAAAAUCAGAGAGGAUAGGAAACCUGUCCAAAGUCAUAUGGCUGAUAAGAGGCAGAGUGAAGACUGGACCUGAGCAAGUUUGGUGUAGAAGCCUGUGCUCUUAACUGCCAUCCUAGAUUCUUUCUUAAGACUUCUUCUGAGGAACUGAAGACACAUUUUGUAGAAGUUGAUGGAUUAAGAAAAAGAAGUUGCAUUUUAUUACCUAUCCUAAAGAUAGAAGGUUCCUCGCAUGACUGACAGCUUAGAAGCCAGAGGUCAAGGGAGCCUAUCGAUCAAUGCACUCCACGCAAAUAUGUCCCAGGAGCAGGAUAGAACAAGAGAGAGAGAGGUUCAGGAAACAUCUGAAGGGGAAUGGGCAAGUGAUGCCUGAACGGUACUGGCAGAAGAUAAAUGGUAUGUUAUUUUAAGCCAAUAGAAAGCUUAAUCCCAUGAGGGAAACUCUGGGAAAUGUACACCAUAUGAGUCAGAAUUACUCCAAGAAUGAGGGAGCUAGGACACUUAGCUUCCUGAACCAUUGGGUGUGAUCUGCCCCUGUAGGCAAAGGGCCUUCCUAGGAUCUAGAAAAAAAGACUCCAGGCAGCUAGAUGUAGAUACUGGCCAUUGGAUGUUUGUCAAAGCAAAAGAAAGAUCUGAAGGGUAAGGGAAGGACAUUGUUGGUGUCUAUACUUUUGGCCAAUAUGCCACAAGUACAAAUGCACCAGUUACAGUGUUAAGCAUGACUGCUUGAAUUUACAACCAGCUUUUGAGGAUAUGGAUAUGGAAGGUGUUCUUAAAAGUCCCAUCUUAUUGUCGUGACAGCAAAGAUCAUUAUAUAAGUCUGUUAUUAUUUCAGGCAAUUAAAAAACUGUCUCGUAAUUAUUUGAGUCACAUUUCUUUUUAAUAUUUUUGACAGUCUGUAAUUUUAGAAUAACACUCUCAAAUACAUCAUUUGCCAUAUUUUAACACAUUGGAGUUACAUAAUCUGUGUAUCAGUGUACCAGAGUGAAUUUGGUUUUGUGAAGACCUCAGAAGAAAAGCUUACCUGCAAUCUCCAUGUCUAAACUUGAAUAGAUUAAAAUGUUCCCUUGAUUAGGA
This 1509-nucleotide long non-coding RNA is filed under the name Homo sapiens (human). RNAcentral describes it as "HSALNT0034612". The record is from RNAcentral. Lineage: Eukaryota; Metazoa; Chordata; Mammalia; Primates; Hominidae.